Dromaius novaehollandiae (emu) is the source of this 2276-nucleotide long non-coding RNA. RefSeq lists it as uncharacterized. The record is from RefSeq and is a predicted model, not a curated record. Lineage: Eukaryota; Metazoa; Chordata; Aves; Casuariiformes; Dromaiidae. The transcript is spliced from 3 exons.
GUGCAGUUCUCGGGAGCCCGCUGGUGGCCGGCGCAUGCGCGGUGCGCACGAGCAGCAUGGCGGCGCGCAGGGAUGCUGUUUCCUCUCGGCGGCCGUGGCUGCUGGGGGCACCGGUGAGGCAAGCGCGGCCCUUCGGGUGGCCGCGGGUGGUGGGCUGUCUCCUGCUGGCUGGGGCCGUCGCUGCCUGAAGGCGCAGGUGCGGGCCGAGAGCGUGGGGGCGUUAAGAUACAACACUUAGAUAAGUUGUCACGGCUGAAAUGGAAGAGGCGAGAAAGAUGUGAACAAGCUGAAGCAAUAACAUCAAAUGGAUCCAAUCAAAAGCGGUCUCCAUCCUCCAAACAAGAGAAACUCUGUUCCUCCUGGUGAGGAAGGGACACUACUAAUAGUGAUCAGGAUUAUAGAGCACCAACACAUAAUGCAAGGGCAGCGGAUUUUACCAUGCCUCCAUCAACAAGUGCUGGCUGAGAAGAUCAUAAUGUGAACACAGAUUCCUGAGGCAAGGCCAAGGAGCUGAGAUUCGCAGCUGGCCAGAAGAAAAUUGCUUGGGAGCUGUUGCUAGCCUUGAGCUAUAGGUGCUAGUGCAUAUGGCUCACUUUUUCGGACUCAAAGGAGUUUUCUUCAGUUGUAGAAAUUUUAGCUUGGCUUUAUACCCUGUAGUAAUGGUAUUUUUGUGUUUAUAAAUUCUGCUAAUCCUAGGCAUUCAGAACAUCAGGGAAAGACUAUACACUGCCAUAAGAAAUAUAAGCUACCACCCUCAGGCCUUUGAAAGUUAUCACGUGUCAAGGGCAGCCAAGGGAACACGAAUGGCUCCAGAAAGGUUCUCUGUCUGGUCACAGUUAGGAGUCUUGAGCCAUAGGAAGGUCUUCAACAUCCUUACCAAACUUGUGAGUAAUAACCCAAUGGACCAGCAAAGGAGAGGGAGAACAGUGCCCAGUCAGUGUAGCGUUGCCAUUGCUAACAGAGCCACAAGGUCUGCAUGAAGCCUCGCCUACCUAUUUGGAGCUGUAUUUUGGUCUGUUUACCUGAAAUAACCAGUAAUGCCUACCGUAAGAAUUUUCAUGGCUGAUAGCUAACCUGUGGCCUAACGUGUGUUUGCCUUGCUUUGCUUAGUCUGAUUGCUCAAUGUGAUAACCCCAGAAUAAAAAUCAUUACAGUGCUUAAGGGAGCCCAAGGAUCUGUGUGCCAAGACUGGGGAACUGCAAUUAAAGCUUUGAAAAAAUGCUCUAAAAUGAGAAUCAUCCAAUGAUCUUGGUAGUUUGAUUCAUUUGCAGGAUAAUCCUCCAAGGGCAGCAACCUGAAGAGAAGCAGCUCGACCUGUUUUGUUGAUUUCAGUGAUGCUGUUUUAAGGAAGCAUGUGCCAGGAGAUGGUUCCCUCAGCAGAGAUGAUCAGCAGCAAGCAGAGGGUGCCAUCAGUUUGCCAGAUUCAGGUCAUGUCAGACACCUCUACAGUGACUGCACGCUGGCAUUGAGCCCAGUUUUCUGUUGGAUCUGUCUUCAUGUAAACUAGUAUCUUCCCUGCAUCAGUCUCACUCUGCUCAUCUUCCUUCUGUCUGCAGCAGCAGCCUGCACUCAACUUUGCAUUCUGACACACUGCUGUGUCACAGGGCUUUCAAGCAAGGUCUGUUUGACUUGGGCCACUUGUGUUUCCUCUUAGGCAGCCUCAGCAAAUGAAGCAAAACCAUCUUCCCAUCAUUGUCCAGGCCAGAGUCAUUAGCUCAGUCUCUUCAGAGUUUGGACUUUUUGAAGGCCGUAGUUUUAUCCUGUCUUGGCUGGAUUCUGCUUUCUGAGUGGUCUGGAGGUGACUGAAGACUUUGGAUGGCAUGAGUGUUUUGUGCCUGUGUUUUCUGUGGGAGAAAGGCUAUGCUGAGUGGAGAAGUGCAGAGGGGUGUGGGUGGAGGGCAGAAGAGGUGGCUUGGGUGGGCUGGCUUUCUCCACAGCUGGAGGCUCUGUGGAGAUCUACAGCCAGCCAUGGAGGACAAGCUCUGACUUGCAGCGUGGCCACAGCUGAGUUCUGGAACUCCAUCGUAUGUGAGCAGGGCUGGGAGGUGGAUAGUGAUUGUCCCCUAGGUGGUUAUAGGUGUCCCUGCCUGUGGAUGUUUGCCUAUGGAGCUGAGAGAAACAAAAAUACUAAUUGUGUGUAAUGCAGAUGAACUGGUGCUUGUGGUGUUUCAGGUAGGUUCAGUGCAGUUAAAUUGCAGCUUAAUGCAGUCCUGUGGAGUGAUUCUUGCAUAUGGUCAUGUUUGAGUGUUAGCUAAAUACAAGCUUAUAAACAGCAA